Molecule: long non-coding RNA, 922 nt
Organism: Halichondria panicea
Lineage: Eukaryota; Metazoa; Porifera; Demospongiae; Suberitida; Halichondriidae
Exons: 4
Source: RefSeq, a predicted model, not a curated record
AAAAAAGUAAUUUCCUUUUCUUCUUGCUAUAAUAUUAUACAGCUAUGUCUAGUUGCAGCAAGUUUUUACUCAUCGCCAUUCUUUUAGGAUUGAUGCUCCGCACCUUCUCACUUGCUCCGAUUAAGCUAGUAUCAAGAUUAUUUCGUUAUACACAAGAUGGAGUGGAAUUUUCUUGGCAACCCCCCCCCGGAGUUAAUGGAACGAGUACCUAUAAAUGUGAAAUUAUAGAGUGCAAUGCUGGUUCAUUUUGGAGCGUAUAUAGACCCAAUCAAACCAAUGAAACCAAAUGUCAGUUUGGACCACAUGUGUUUAAUUCAAUAAUAGAUGAUAGGAGCAAGUUUAUUCGUAUCGAUGACGUUGAUAAAACGGUUUUUCCUACAAAGCUAGAGUUUCGAUUUGAAGGGAAGCAGGUUAUUGUCCAGGUGAACAAAGGAGGAAAAUACUGUUUAUCGACCAAUUUGUCAAUUCCUGCAAAUGAAUCAUUAAUGUCUCUCUGGGCAAUGACACCAGGAUCAAAUGAAGAUUGUAGUUGUUACAUACCACAAAAUUCGAAUAUGGCAAUGCCUAAAUGUCCUUGUGUGGGGCAUCGCUCAGCAGAGUUUACUGUUAAAUAUUACGGACCAAAAAAACUAAUUUGUUUUGAAAAUCUCUACCUAGUAGAGUCACUUAAAGUAUUUCUAUUCAGUGAGGUAAACAAUCUAUGCUCUCCAAACAAAAGUAGUGCUUCACAAAAGUUUCACGUUGGAACAGAAAUAAAGAAUGGAAGAAAUUCUCUACAUUCAUUUGGCAUACAAAUUCUCAUUUGUGAAAGAAAUUCAUUGAGGGAAGGACAUGAAAGGAACGAAAGGAAUGUGCUAAGCAAAAUCAUAAUUAUACUGUUACAUCUAUAAAAUGCACACCUACAUGCACCAGACAACCCAUG